RNAcentral lists this ribosomal RNA (475 nucleotides) under Lamellibrachia anaximandri. RNAcentral's name for it is "partial 16S ribosomal RNA". It matches the Rfam family "Bacterial large subunit ribosomal RNA", at positions 1911 to 2599 of the family's 2925-position model. The record is from RNAcentral. Lineage: Eukaryota; Metazoa; Annelida; Polychaeta; Sabellida; Siboglinidae.
AUGACAACAUAGUUCAAUGGCCGCGGUACCCUGACCGUGCAAAGGUAGCAUAAUCACUUGCCCCUUAAUUAGGGGCUGGCAUGAAAGGACACACGAAAGCUUCCCUGUCUCACAAUAACAAAUAAAAAUUAAUCUUCAAGUGAAAAAGCUUGAAUAAAAUUGCAGGACAAGAAGACCCCGUUGAGCUUUAUUCUCUAUAGACUAAAUCAAAUAUUAAAUACAUCAUAAACCUAAAAAGAAUUUAGUUGGGGUGACUAAGGAACACCGAAAACUUCCUUUUAUUAAUUAGGAUCAUUCUCCAUACAAAUUGACCCAUUACACAUGAUCAAAAAAAUAAGCUACCACAGGGAUAACAGGCUAAUCUUUCUCAAGAGCCCAAAUUGUCAGAAAGGAUUGGCACCUCGAUGUUGGCUUAGGGGCCCCUAAUGGUGCAGAAGCCAUAAAUGGUAGGUUUGUUCAACCUUUAAAACCCUAC